ACGCGAAGAAACCUUACCUGGGCUCGAAAUGCAGUGGACCGGGGUGGAAACAUCCCUUCCCGCAAGGGUCGCUGUAUAGGUGCUGCAUGGCUGUCGUCAGCUCGUGUCGUGAGAUGUUGGGUUAAGUCCCGCAACGAGCGCAACCCUUAUUGUCAGUUGCCAUCAGGUCAAGCUGGGCACUCUGGCGAAACCGCCUCGGAUAACGGGGAGGAAGGUGGGGAUGACGUCAAGUCCUCAUGGCCUUUAUGUCCAGGGCUACACACGUGCUACAAUGGUCGGUACAAACCGUCGCAAACCCUCGAGGGGGAGCUAAUCGGAAAAAGCCGGCCUCACUUCAGAUUGAAUUCUGCAACUCUAUCUUCUGAAGCUGGAAACACAAAUAAUCGAGGAUCACAACACCGCCGAGCAAAGGUUCACGGCUCUCGCGAGCAUAG
RNAcentral lists this ribosomal RNA (434 nucleotides) under uncultured bacterium. RNAcentral's name for it is "bacterial SSU rRNA". It matches the Rfam family "Bacterial small subunit ribosomal RNA", at positions 959 to 1383 of the family's 1533-position model. The record is from RNAcentral.